This 623-nucleotide small RNA is filed under the name Pan troglodytes (chimpanzee). RNAcentral's name for it is "retained intron". Lineage: Eukaryota; Metazoa; Chordata; Mammalia; Primates; Hominidae. The record is from RNAcentral.
GUUAAGCUGAGGUCGUCUGAGCCCUGCGACAGCCUGGACAGCAACUCAGGAUGGCAUCAGGCAGGGCACGCUGCACCCGAAAACUCCGGAACUGGGUGGUGGAGCAAGUGGAGAGUGGGCAGUUUCCCGGAGUGUGCUGGGAUGAUACAGCUAAGACCAUGUUCCGGAUUCCCUGGAAACAUGCAGGCAAGCAGGACUUCCGGGAGGACCAGGAUGCUGCCUUCUUCAAGGCCUGGGCAAUAUUUAAGGGAAAGUAUAAGGAGGGGGACACAGGAGGUCCGGCUGUCUGGAAGACUCGCCUGCGCUGUGCACUCAACAAGAGUUCUGAAUUUAAGGAGGUUCCUGAGAGGGGCCGCAUGGAUGUUGCUGAGCCCUACAAGGUGUAUCAGUUGCUGCCACCAGGAACUGUCUCUGGCCAGCCAGGGACUCAGAAAUCACCAUCAAAGCGACAUCACAGUUCUGUGUCCUCUGAGAGGGAGGAGGAAGAGGAUGCCAUGCAGAACUGCACACUCAGUCCCUCUGUGCUCCAGGACUCCCUCAAUAAUGUAAGAGAUGGAGAGGGAACUGGGUGGGCCUAAGGGCAGGACAGUAACCAGAGGGAGAGGUGGGCCAAUGAAAGACAC